CACUAACAACAAAUCAACGAUAUCAGCAUCACAAUUUCAAAGCAACAGCUUCGGUAAAACCCAGCAGUAACGACAACUCACCAGCCAACGUUCAAUUCGUACCGAUCAGUAGGAAUCCAGCUCAUCCAACCUCAUUUACUCUUGAAUUCAAAAUUUUCCCUUCCAAAUUUCAAAAUUAUCCUCAAAAAACCCCUCUCCCCCUCCACUGUUCAAAAGGAGGUUUUCGGUACCAAAAAGAAGGGCUGAAAAUUUACUUUUUUUUUUUUUUUUUCAUUCGGUGUUUGGUCCUGAUUAAUCUGGAUCGCACGUGGCAGCGCUCCCAACAGAAUUUCUCCAUAUUCAGGAUCGAACCUCGAUAUCUGGUUAAGAGUGGAGCAGUCCGUCCAGUGCACCGCAACCCAUGUUGGUGCUGAAAAUUCACUUUACUCCGCUAGGAUUUUGGACCUCGGUCCCCAGCCUGGAGUUGUGAGAAUUUCGGCUCAAUUUGCAGUUUUUCUUGCUGUUCUCUAGUGAGGAAAGAGGUGGAAGUUGAGCCUUUCAACUGGCCAUCCCAGUGACUGCCCAUAAAAAGAUCCAUAGAUUGAGGAACAAAGAGGUCCCCUUGGUUAAAGUUUUGUGGCGGAACCAGUCAGUUUAGGGCGCUACUUGGAAGGUAGAAGCACACAUGCGAGUCAAGUACCCUCACCUCUUUUCCACGAAUUCAGAUCAAUCUGAAGCACAAAGACAUUCAAGGAUUGAGGAGUGGAGCAGUUCAUGGAUGGCUUGAGACUCUAAUUUGGUAUCGAGUUCAUCUCUCAAGAACACAAUAGGAGAAAAAUAACCGAGGGUUAAACAUUCAAGACCAAGGGUUCAAUCUUUCGCAAAUUCUUUAUCACUAAGGUCCCAAAACUUCAUCUACUUUACCUGCACAGUGAUUAGGUGUUCGAGUGGUUCGUGAGUUGACAUUGAAGCGGAUGAAUUGUUGAUGAGUUUUGUCUCAAUUGAAUGCAUGAUGAGAAACAAAUGAUAAUUAUUGCUGGAGAAGGAUUUUAUGGUGUGGAAAUGACACUGACAAUGAGCUUUGAGAGGAGAAAUUAUUUGAAGAAUAUAUUUUUCCUUAGUCAAAAUUCUAAGCAACAAUUCCAGUGAGGGUCUGCAAAAUAGGCGCAGCACAGACCUCUCCCUACAUGCUAUGAAGCGUGGUGCAGGGCUCUUCCUACGUGAUACGAUGAGUGGUGUGGAGAAUUCCCCACUGGUCAAACCCAUGCGACACGGAGUUUAUCCAUGCUAGGCCAAUUUGGUUCAACUAUAAAAGAAGCACUUAAUUACAAUUGGGACUACUUUUUGGCAUGUACUGCAGAGGCAAAAACACCAUUAAUACUUUUUUUUGGGUUCUUUGAACUUCAUUAUUUGAAGAUUACUUUUGGGUAUGUUUGAUUACUUGUUUUUGAUAUUGAAUUCAAGCAUGAGUGGCUAAACACCCUUGUUUUGGGGUUGAGGCCAAAGACAUGAUUGAUCUUUGAUAUUCUUUAUUAUAGUUUCUUGUUGGAUUA
This is a long non-coding RNA of Capsicum annuum, 1532 nucleotides long. RefSeq lists it as uncharacterized. The record is from RefSeq and is a predicted model, not a curated record. The transcript has 6 exons. Lineage: Eukaryota; Viridiplantae; Streptophyta; Magnoliopsida; Solanales; Solanaceae.